RNAcentral lists this ribosomal RNA (271 nucleotides) under uncultured archaeon. RNAcentral's name for it is "partial 16S ribosomal RNA". It matches the Rfam family "Archaeal small subunit ribosomal RNA", at positions 477 to 747 of the family's 1478-position model. The record is from RNAcentral.
CAGCGCCACAAGUGGGAGCCAUGUUUAUUGGGCCUAAAGCGUCCGUAGCCGGUCCGGUAAAUCUUCUGUGAAAUUGUCUGGCCUAACCAGACAGCGUGCAGGAGACACUGCCGGACUCGAGACCGGGAGGGGUCAGAAGUAUUCCUAGGGGAGCGGUAAAAUGCUAUAAUCCUAGGAAGACUACCUGUGGCGAAGGCGUCUGACUAGAACGGUUCUGACGGUGAGGGACGAAAGCUAGGGGAGCGAACCGGAUUAGAUACCCGAGUAGUCC